GAUGAACGCUGGCGGCGUGCUUAACACAUGCAAGUCGAACGGAGAAAGGGUAGCUUGCUAUCUUUUCUUAGUGGCGGACGGGUGAGUAACGCGUGGGUAACCUGCCCUUUGCAGGGGGAUAACAGUGAGAAAUCACUGCUAAUACCGCAUACCAACUUCUUUCGCAUGAAAGAAGUUUGAAAGAUUUAUCGGCAAAGGAUGGACCCGCGUUGGAUUAGCUAGUUGGUGAGAUAACAGCCCACCAAGGCAACGAUCCAUAGCCGGCCUGAGAGGGUGAACGGCCACACUGGGACUGAGACACGGCCCAGACUCCUACGGGAGGCAGCAGUUGGGAAUCUUCGGCAAUGGGCGCAAGCCUGACCGAGCAACGCCGCGUGAGUGAUGAAGGUUUUCGGAUUGUAAAGCUCUGUCUUCCGGGACGAUAAUGACGGUACCGGAGGAGGAAGCCACGGCUAACUACGUG
RNAcentral lists this ribosomal RNA (463 nucleotides) under uncultured bacterium. RNAcentral's name for it is "bacterial SSU rRNA". It matches the Rfam family "Bacterial small subunit ribosomal RNA", at positions 28 to 507 of the family's 1533-position model. The record is from RNAcentral.